GCCUUCGUAGUGUAGUGGUCAGAACGCUCGGCACGUAUUCGAGAGACCUGUGGUUCGAGUCCCGGCGAGGGCG
Molecule: transfer RNA, 73 nt
Filed under: Stegodyphus mimosarum
Lineage: Eukaryota; Metazoa; Arthropoda; Arachnida; Araneae; Eresidae
Rfam family: tRNA
About the family: Transfer RNA (tRNA) molecules are approximately 80 nucleotides in length. Their secondary structure includes four short double-helical elements and three loops (D, anti-codon, and T loops). Further hydrogen bonds mediate the characteristic L-shaped molecular structure. tRNAs have two regions of fundamental functional importance: the anti-codon, which is responsible for specific mRNA codon recognition, and the 3' end, to which the tRNAs corresponding amino acid is attached (by aminoacyl-tRNA synthetases). tRNAs cope with the degeneracy of the genetic code in two manners: having more than one tRNA (with a specific anti-codon) for a particular amino acid; and 'wobble' base-pairing, i.e. permitting non-standard base-pairing at the 3rd anti-codon position.
Source: Rfam by way of RNAcentral